This 342-nucleotide ribosomal RNA is filed under the name Salmonella enterica subsp. enterica serovar Lubbock. RNAcentral's name for it is "partial 23S ribosomal RNA". It matches the Rfam family "Bacterial large subunit ribosomal RNA", at positions 454 to 796 of the family's 2925-position model. Lineage: Bacteria; Pseudomonadati; Pseudomonadota; Gammaproteobacteria; Enterobacterales; Enterobacteriaceae. The record is from RNAcentral.
CAUCCUCCAAGGCUAAAUACUCCUGACUGACCGAUAGUGAACCAGUACCGUGAGGGAAAGGCGAAAAGAACCCCGGCGAGGGGAGUGAAAAAGAACCUGAAACCGUGUACGUACAAGCAGUGGGAGCACAGGUUUACCUGUGUGACUGCGUACCUUUUGUAUAAUGGGUCAGCGACUUAUAUUCUGUAGCAAGGUUAACCGAAUAGGGGAGCCGGAGGGAAACCGAGUCUUAACCGGGCGUUAAGUUGCAGGGUAUAGACCCGAAACCCGGUGAUCUAGCCAUGGGCAGGUUGAAGGUUGGGUAACACUAACUGGAGGACCGAACCGACUAAUGUUGAAAAA